GGGCCCAAGGGCCUCAAACAUAGCGGGGCGCCCAACGCCUCGCACUGCUAAACGGAAGACAGAAA
This 65-nucleotide non-coding RNA is filed under the name unclassified sequences. Its description in RNAcentral is "L2-Alphaproteobacteria ribosomal protein leader". It matches the Rfam family "L2-Alphaproteobacteria ribosomal protein leader". The record is from RNAcentral.